Molecule: ribosomal RNA, 233 nt
Filed under: Klebsiella pneumoniae
Lineage: Bacteria; Pseudomonadati; Pseudomonadota; Gammaproteobacteria; Enterobacterales; Enterobacteriaceae
Description: partial 23S ribosomal RNA
Rfam family: Bacterial large subunit ribosomal RNA
Source: RNAcentral
AACCGGGUGAACUGAAACAUCUCAGUAGCUCGAGGAAAAGACAUCAACCGAGAUUCCGAAAGUAGUGGCGAGCGAAAUCGGAGUAGCCCUCGCGUUUUAGCAGUUUGUAUAUCAGAACGGAAUGGAAAGUCCGGCCACAGCGGGUGAUAGCCCCGUAUGAGAAAUGCAGAUUGUGGAACUAGGCGCGAAUAGAGUAGGGCGGGACACGUGAAAUCCUGUCUGAAUAUGGGGGG